AACGAACGCUGGCGGCAGGCCUAACACAUGCAAGUCGAGCGAGACCUUCGGGUCUAGCGGCGGACGGGUUAGUAACGCGUGGGAACGUGCCCUUCUCUGCGGAAUAGCCACUGGAAACGGUGAGUAAUACCGCAUACGCCCUUCGGGGGAAAGAUUUAUCGGAGAAGGAUCGGCCCGCGUUAGAUUAGAUUGUUGGUGGGGUAACGGCCUACCAAGUCUACGAUCUAUAGCUGGUUUUAGAGGAUGAUCAGCAACACUGGGACUGAGACACGGCCCAGACUCCUACGGGAGGCAGCAGUGGGGAAUCUUAGACAAUGGGCGCAAGCCUGAUCUAGCCAUGCCGCGUGUGUGAUGAAGGUCUUAGGAUCGUAAAGCACUUUCGCCAGGGAUGAUAAUGACAGUACCUGGUAAAGAAACCCCGGCUAACUCCGUG
This 433-nucleotide ribosomal RNA is filed under the name uncultured bacterium. Its description in RNAcentral is "bacterial SSU rRNA". It matches the Rfam family "Bacterial small subunit ribosomal RNA", at positions 29 to 507 of the family's 1533-position model. The record is from RNAcentral.